CCUACGGGUGGCAGCAGUGAGGAAUAUUGGUCAAUGGGCGAGAGCCUGAACCAGCCAAGUCGCGUGAGGGAGUACUGCCCUAUGGGUUGUAAACCUCUUUUGUACGGGAGCAAAAGCCGGACGUGUCCGGCUGUGAGAGUAACCGAAGAAAAAGCAUCGGCAAACACCGUUCCAGCAGCCGCGGUAAUACGGGGGAUGCGAGCGUUAUCCGGAUUUAUUGGGUUUAAAGGGGUCGCAGGCGGGUUUUUAAGUCAGCGGUAAAAUCGUGGGGUUCAACCCCAUCCAGCCGUUGAAACUGGGGAUCUAGAGUGUGCGAGCGGUAGGCGGAAUGCGUGGUGUAGCGGUGAAAUGCAUAGAGAUCACGCAGAACCCCGAUUGCGAAGGCAGCAUACCGGUGCACAACUGACGCUCAGGCACGAAAGCGUGGGUAUCGAACAGGAUUAGAUACCCUUGUAGUC
This 458-nucleotide ribosomal RNA is filed under the name uncultured bacterium. RNAcentral's name for it is "partial 16S ribosomal RNA". It matches the Rfam family "Bacterial small subunit ribosomal RNA", at positions 338 to 795 of the family's 1533-position model. The record is from RNAcentral.